Molecule: non-coding RNA, 334 nt
Organism: Podarcis muralis (Common wall lizard)
Lineage: Eukaryota; Metazoa; Chordata; Lepidosauria; Squamata; Lacertidae
Source: RefSeq, a predicted model, not a curated record
GUAUGUGUUGUGGAGAACUUGGCCAUCGAUUUCAGUAGGCUUUUUAAAGCGCUUGCCUCAACUCUGCGCCGUUACCCGUAGCAGUUGCUUGUGUUACCAGGAUACUAGAUAGAUAUGCUGCGAGAUACAAGGAAAUUGUUACUGGGUCCCCUCAAAGUGGUAUGUUUACACGGUGUGUGUAUGUAUUGCAGAAAAUCAAGAAUUAUAGCUGUAAAAUGCUUCAAAGGUUCUUUGACUCUUCAGAGAAGUUACAGUUAUUCAGCAGGUGACGUAAAAUCUUUGCGCUCUAUUAUCUCUCCACCUGCCUCUAAAAUCCGCAACAUUGGCAUCAUGG